AGUGAACGCUGGCGGCGUGCCUAAUACAUGCAAGUCGAACGGAGUGGCGCACGGGUGAGUAAUAUAUAGCUAAUCUGCCCCUUGCUGGAGGACAACAGUUAGAAAUGACUGCUAAUACUCCAUAGCAAGGGAUGGGACGAUAUCGUAUCAGCUGGUCGGUGGGGUAACGGCCUACCGAGGCUAUGACGCGUAACUGGUCUGAGAGGAUGAGCAGACACAUUGGAGGGGAGACACGGUCGGAACUCCUAGGGGAGGGAGCAGAAGGGAAUAGUGCGAAACGGGGGAAGCGCUGACGGAGCAACGCCCCGUGAAGGAUGAUACUUGUGAGAGCGGAAACUCCGUUUGUAAAGGAAACGGUACCUAACGAAUAAGCGCCGGCUAACUCCGUGCCAGCAGCCGCGGUAAUUC
RNAcentral lists this ribosomal RNA (408 nucleotides) under uncultured bacterium. RNAcentral's name for it is "partial 16S ribosomal RNA". It matches the Rfam family "Bacterial small subunit ribosomal RNA", at positions 29 to 526 of the family's 1533-position model. The record is from RNAcentral.